Long non-coding RNA from Zalophus californianus (California sea lion), 351 nucleotides. RefSeq lists it as uncharacterized. The transcript is spliced from 3 exons. The record is from RefSeq and is a predicted model, not a curated record. Lineage: Eukaryota; Metazoa; Chordata; Mammalia; Carnivora; Otariidae.
GCCAGGGUCUUCAUUCUGCUUUAAGUGCUCCAGGCACCUUCUAAGAAGCAGUUAAAGAAGACUGCAUAAUACCUGGAAACCUUCCAGUUUCAUUUGCAGAAUUCAGCCUCACUCAUAGUUCCCUGGAGGUACAGAUCUGUGAUUCCACAGUUUUGCACAAUUCACAGUGUCUCGAGCAGUUUCUAACUUCCUAUACAAGAUGUUCCAACUUUACGCAGUCCCAACCCCUAGUCUACAAUGAGAAAAACACCAGACAAACCCCAACAGAGGAUAUUCCUCACAACACAUGAGCAGUAGUUCUGGGAUCAAGGUUAUCAAAAACAAGGAGAGGCUGAGAAAAUGUCAGUCUGG